This 148-nucleotide signal recognition particle RNA is filed under the name Chlorocebus sabaeus (green monkey). Its description in RNAcentral is "Metazoan signal recognition particle RNA". It matches the Rfam family "Metazoan signal recognition particle RNA". Rfam says of the family: The signal recognition particle (SRP) is a universally conserved ribonucleoprotein. It is involved in the co-translational targeting of proteins to membranes. Lineage: Eukaryota; Metazoa; Chordata; Mammalia; Primates; Cercopithecidae. The record is from Rfam by way of RNAcentral.
GCCAGGCGUGGUAGUACACGCCUGUAGUCCCAGCUACUCGGGAGGCUGAGGCAGGAGAAUUGCUUGAGCCCAGGAGGUCAAGGCUGCAGUGAGCCGUGAUUGUGCCACUGCACUUUAGCCUGGGCAAGAGAGUGAGACCCUGUCUCAA